GGGGGCCCGCAAGCGGUGGAGCAUGUGGUUUAAUUCGAUGCAACGCGAAGAACCUUACCUACUCUUGACAUCCAGAGAACUUAGCAGAGAUGCUUUGGUGCCUUCGGGAACUCUGAGACAGGUGCUGCAUGGCUGUCGUCAGCUCGUGUUGUGAAAUGUUGGGUUAAGUCCCGCAACGAGCGCAACCCUUAUCCUUUGUUGCCAUCGGUUCGGCCGGGAACUCAAAGGAGACUGCCAGUGAUAAACUGGAGGAAGGUGGGGAUGACGUCAAGUCAUCAUGGCCCUUACGAGUAGGGCUACACACGUGCUACAAUGGCGUAUACAAAGAGAAGCGACCUCGCGAGAGCAAGCGGACCUCAUAAAGUACGUCGUAGUCCGGAUUGGAGUCUGCAACUCGACUCCAUGAAGUCGGAAUCGCUAGUAAUCGUAGAUCAGAAUGCUACGGUGAAUACGUUCCCGGGCCUUGUACACACC
RNAcentral lists this ribosomal RNA (474 nucleotides) under uncultured bacterium. RNAcentral's name for it is "bacterial SSU rRNA". It matches the Rfam family "Bacterial small subunit ribosomal RNA", at positions 915 to 1391 of the family's 1533-position model. The record is from RNAcentral.